RNAcentral lists this ribosomal RNA (301 nucleotides) under uncultured bacterium. Its description in RNAcentral is "partial 16S ribosomal RNA". It matches the Rfam family "Bacterial small subunit ribosomal RNA", at positions 509 to 807 of the family's 1533-position model. The record is from RNAcentral.
CAGCAGCCACGGUAAUACGGAGGGUGCAAGCGUUAUCCGGAUUCACUGGGCGUAAAGCGUGCGUAGGCGGCUUCUUAAGUCGGAUGUGAAAUCCCUGAGCUUAACUUAGGAAUUGCAUUCGAUACUGGGAAGCUAGAGUAUGGGAGAGGAUGGUAGAAUUCCAGGUGUAGCGGUGAAAUGCGUAGAGAUCUGGAGGAAUACCGAUGGCGAAGGCAGCCAUCUGGCCUAAUACUGACGCUGAGGUACGAAAGCAUGGGGAGCAAACAGGAUUAGAUACCCCAGUAGUCCCUGUCUCUUAUAC